UACGUAGGUGGCAAGCGUUGUUCGGAUUUACUGGGCGUAAAGGGCGCGUAGGCGGCGUGACAAGUCACUUGUGAAAUCUCCGGGCUUAACUCGGAACGGUCAAGUGAUACUGUCGUGCUAGAGUACAGAAGGGGCAACUGGAAUUCUCGGUGUAGCGGUGAAAUGCGUAGAUAUCGAGAGGAACACCUGCGGCGAAGGCGGGUUGCUGGGCUGAUACUGACGCUGAGGCGCGAAAGCCAGGGGAGCGAACGGG
This 253-nucleotide ribosomal RNA is filed under the name uncultured bacterium. Its description in RNAcentral is "partial 16S ribosomal RNA". It matches the Rfam family "Bacterial small subunit ribosomal RNA", at positions 524 to 776 of the family's 1533-position model. The record is from RNAcentral.